RNAcentral lists this ribosomal RNA (492 nucleotides) under uncultured bacterium. RNAcentral's name for it is "partial 16S ribosomal RNA". It matches the Rfam family "Bacterial small subunit ribosomal RNA", at positions 29 to 507 of the family's 1533-position model. The record is from RNAcentral.
AGUGAACGCUGGCGGUAUGCCUAACACAUGCAAGUCGAACGGCAGCACAGUAAUAGCUGGCUCUUACGGGUGGCGAGUGGCGGACGGGUGAGGAAUACAUCGGAAUCUACUUUUUCGUGGGGGAUAACGUAGGGAAACUUACGCUAAUAUCGCAUACGACCUACGGGUGAAAGCAGGGGAUCUUCGGACCUUGCGCGAUUGACUGAGCCGAUGUCGGAUUAGCUAGUUGGCGGGGUAAAGGCCCACCAAGGCGACGAUCCGUAGCUGGUCUGAGAGGAGGAUCAGCCACACUGGAACUGAGACACGGUCCAGACUCCUACGGGAGGCAGCAGUGGGGAAUAUUGGACAAUGGGCGCAAGCCUGAUCCAGCCAGACCGCGUGGGUGAAGAAGGCCUUCGGGUUGUAAAGCCCUUUUGUUGGGAAAGAAAAGCAGCAGGUUAAUACCCCGCUGUUCUGACGGUACCCAAAGAAUAAGCACCGGCUAACUUCGUG